This 646-nucleotide ribosomal RNA is filed under the name Escherichia coli. Its description in RNAcentral is "bacterial SSU rRNA". It matches the Rfam family "Bacterial small subunit ribosomal RNA", at positions 899 to 1533 of the family's 1533-position model. The record is from RNAcentral. Lineage: Bacteria; Pseudomonadati; Pseudomonadota; Gammaproteobacteria; Enterobacterales; Enterobacteriaceae.
ACUCAAAUGAAUUGACGGGGGCCCGCACAAGCGGUGGAGCAUGUGGUUUAAUUCGAUGCAACGCGAAGAACCUUACCUGGUCUUGACAUCCACAGAACCUUGUAGAGAUACGAGGGUGCCUUCGGGAACUGUGAGACAGGUGCUGCAUGGCUGUCGUCAGCUCGUGUUGUGAAAUGUUGGGUUAAGUCCCGCAACGAGCGCAACCCUUAUCCUUUGUUGCCAGCGGUCCGGCCGGGAACUCAAAGGAGACUGCCAGUGAUAAACUGGAGGAAGGUGGGGAUGACGUCAAGUCAUCAUGGCCCUUACGACCAGGGCUACACACGUGCUACAAUGGCGCAUACAAAGAGAAGCGACCUCGCGAGAGCAAGCGGACCUCAUAAAGUGCGUCGUAGUCCGGAUUGGAGUCUGCAACUCGACUCCAUGAAGUCGGAAUCGCUAGUAAUCGUGGAUCAGAAUGCCACGGUGAAUACGUUCCCGGGCCUUGUACACACCGCCCGUCACACCAUGGGAGUGGGUUGCAAAAGAAGUAGGUAGCUUAACCUUCGGGAGGGCGCUUACCACUUUGUGAUUCAUGACUGGGGUGAAGUCGUAACAAGGUAACCGUAGGGGAACCUGCGGUUGGAUCACCUCCUUACCUUAAAGAAGC